This 217-nucleotide unclassified non-coding RNA is filed under the name Hevea brasiliensis (rubber tree). The record is from RNAcentral. Lineage: Eukaryota; Viridiplantae; Streptophyta; Magnoliopsida; Malpighiales; Euphorbiaceae.
UUGAACCGAAUGCUCACCCCUACUUCUCUUUGUAUUUACCAUUACUUUUUGUUCUCUGUCUGCAAAUCUUUACGAAUGCUGCAUGUGUUGGUUGAAAUGCAUUUAGCUCUGAAAUUUCUUAUAUGAGCAACGUGCUAGAUGUUCUGUAGCUUAUUGGACAUUUUACACUGCAGGUACAGGAAAUGGAGCUGAAAUAAGUGAUAGUAAAGAAGAGGAC